RNAcentral lists this non-coding RNA (45 nucleotides) under Schistosoma margrebowiei. Lineage: Eukaryota; Metazoa; Platyhelminthes; Trematoda; Strigeidida; Schistosomatidae. The record is from RNAcentral.
AUCCGUCUGAUGAGUCUCAAAUAGGAGGAAACGCUCGUCCUGUAU